Molecule: ribosomal RNA, 468 nt
Filed under: uncultured bacterium
Lineage: Bacteria
Description: partial 16S ribosomal RNA
Rfam family: Bacterial small subunit ribosomal RNA
Source: RNAcentral
GACGAACGCUGGCGGCGUGCUUAACACAUGCAAGUCGAACGGUAAGGCUUUGCUUUUGUGGGGUGCUCGAGUGGCGAACGGGUGAGUAACAAGUGAGUAACCUGCCCUUGAUUUUGGGAUUACUUCAGGAAACUGGGGCUAAUACCGGAUAGGUGCUCCUGUUGCAUGGUGGGGGCUGGCAAGUUUCGGCGGUAGGGGUUGGACUCGCGGCUUAUCAGCUUGUUGGUGGGGGAGUGGCUUACCAAGGCUUUGACGGGUAGCCGGACUGAGAGUGUGACCGGCCACAGUGGGACUGAGAUACAGCCCAGACUCCGACGGGAAGCAGCGGUAGCAGAUAUUGAACAAUGAGCGGAAGCCUGAUGCAGCAGCGCCGCGUGCGGGAGAACGGCCUUCGGGUUGUGAAGCGCUUUCGCCUGGGACGAAGCGUGAGUGACGGUAAUAUAUAAAGAAGCACCGGCUAACUACGUG